This is a long non-coding RNA of Gorilla gorilla gorilla (western lowland gorilla), 750 nucleotides long. RefSeq lists it as uncharacterized. The transcript is spliced from 3 exons. The record is from RefSeq and is a predicted model, not a curated record. NCBI's taxonomy places the organism in Eukaryota, Metazoa, Chordata, Mammalia, Primates, Hominidae.
AUAUUCAGACACAUGGCCUUGAACUCGUAAUAACUCACGCAUGUAAGCCACAAUAACUUCAUUUGCAUGCAACCACCUUGAAUGAAUGGUCUCAGUAAAUGUGUCAUUUAUUCUCAAUAUUCUGGAGUGCUGGAAAAAAUGUGGAGUCAAAGGAUCCCUCAGUCUGCUGGUGUGACCUGGGGCACCCAUCCCUGUUCCUUCUCCUCUUACAUGGGAUAAAACCCCAGCGGAGCCGUGUCUCUGGAUCAUUGUGAUGGAUUAGGUGUUCUGCUGAGAGCUGGGCUGUCUGCUUAGAAAUCAGCCUCCAGGCCUGACUUUUGGCCUCUGCCCCGCCUGUGGAGUCGGUGUGGGCUCCAGAUUCCAGAGGCGAAGGAUACAUCCUAGUGCCAGCUCAGAUCUGAAACAGGCGUGCCCUUCGUUUUCAGAAAAUGGUUUCAUCGUCAUUGUCCUGAAAGCCACUGCCUGGAAGGGCUGUGCAGCGCUCAGAGUGGGAGAGGCAGACCUCUGAGAGAAAUGACUUCAGCAUCACUACAGCUGUGGCUAGAAUGAGAACAGCCUCAAAUUUCACUAAUGAAGAGAUUUUCUGAGUUCCAUGUGAGCAACGCCGCUUCCUUCCCAUCCCCGAGUUGUUCCCCUUGUCAUAGAAAAAAGACACAACCAAAAGGGAGAGCUGCCAUCCUUUCAGGUCCCUUCUUGUUCUUCGUCUCACUGAAUUCACCCCUAAAUGCUUUGAAGUAUUCUCCAUGACUG